GGGUUGUGAGGUUAAGCGACUAAGCGUACACGGUGGAUGCCCUGGCAGUCAGAGGCGAUGAAGGGCGUGCUAAUCUGCGAUAAGCGCCGGUAAGGUGAUAUGAACCGUUAUAACCGGCGAUACCCGAAUGGGGAAACCCAGUGUGACUCGUCACACUAUCAUUAACUGAAUCCAUAGGUUAAUGAGGCGAACCGGGGGAACUGAAACAUCUAAGUACCCCGAGGAAAAGAAAUCAACCGAGAUUCCCCCAGUAGCGGCGAGCGAACGGGGAGGAGCCCAGAGCCUGAAUCAGCAUGUGUGUUAGUGGAAGCGUCUGGAAAGGCGCGCGAUACAGGGUGACAGCCCCGUACACAAAAGCGCAUGUGCUGUGAGCUCGAUGAGUAGGGCGGGACACGUGGUAUCCUGUCUGAAUAUGGGGGGACCAUCCUCCAAGGCUAAAUACUCCUGACUGACCGAUAGUGAACCAGUACCGUGAGGGAAAGGCGAAAAGAACCCCGGCGAGGGGAGUGAAAAAGAACCUGAAACCGUGUACGUACAAGCAGUGGGAGCACAGGUUUACCUGUGUGACUGCGUACCUUUUGUAUAAUGGGUCAGCGACUUAUAUUCUGUAGCAAGGUUAACCGAAUAGGGGAGCCGGAGGGAAACCGAGUCUUAACCGGGCGUUAAGUUGCAGGGUAUAGACCCGAAACCCGGUGAUCUAGCCAUGGGCAGGUUGAAGGUUGGGUAACACUAACUGGAGGACCGAACCGACUAAUGUUGAAAAAUUAGCGGAUGACCUGUGGCUGGGGGUGAAAGGCCAAUCAAACCGGGAGAUAGCUGGUUCUCCCCGAAAGCUAUUUAGGUAGCGCCUCGUGAAUUCAUCUCCGGGGGUAGAGCACUGUUUCGGCUAGGGGGCCAUCCCGGCUUACCAACCCGAUGCAAACUGCGAAUACCGGAGAAUGUUAUCACGGGAGACACACGGCGGGUGCUAACGUCCGUCGUGAAGAGGGAAACAACCCAGACCGCCAGCUAAGGUCCCAAAGUCAUGGUUAAGUGGGAAACGAUGUGGGAAGGCCCAGACAGCCAGGAUGUUGGCUUAGAAGCAGCCAUCAUUUAAAGAAAGCGUAAUAGCUCACUGGUCGAGUCGGCCUGCGCGGAAGAUGUAACGGGGCUAAACCAUGCACCGAAGCUGCGGCAGCGACGCUGAUGCGUUGUUGGGUAGGGGAGCGUUCUGUAAGCCUGUGAAGGUGGCCUGUGAGGGUUGCUGGAGGUAUCAGAAGUGCGAAUGCUGACAUAAGUAACGAUAAAGCGGGUGAAAAGCCCGCUCGCCGGAAGACCAAGGGUUCCUGUCCAACGUUAAUCGGGGCAGGGUGAGUCGACCCCUAAGGCGAGGCCGAAAGGCGUAGUCGAUGGGAAACGGGUUAAUAUUCCCGUACUUGGUGUUACUGCGAAGGGGGGACGGAGAAGGCUAUGUUGGCCGGGCGACGGUUGUCCCGGUUUAAGCGUGUAGGUGUGUGUUCCAGGUAAAUCCGGUUCACUUUAACACUGAGGCGUGAUGACGAGGCACUACGGUGCUGAAGCAACAAAUGCCCUGCUUCCAGGAAAAGCCUCUAAGCAUCAGGUAACAUCAAAUCGUACCCCAAACCGACACAGGUGGUCAGGUAGAGAAUACCAAGGCGCUUGAGAGAACUCGGGUGAAGGAACUAGGCAAAAUGGUGCCGUAACUUCGGGAGAAGGCACGCUGACACGUAGGUGAAGUGAUUUACUCAUGGAGCUGAAGUCAGUCGAAGAUACCAGCUGGCUGCAACUGUUUAUUAAAAACACAGCACUGUGCAAACACGAAAGUGGACGUAUACGGUGUGACGCCUGCCCGGUGCCGGAAGGUUAAUUGAUGGGGUCAGCGCAAGCGAAGCUCCUGAUCGAAGCCCCGGUAAACGGCGGCCGUAACUAUAACGGUCCUAAGGUAGCGAAAUUCCUUGUCGGGUAAGUUCCGACCUGCACGAAUGGCGUAAUGAUGGCCAGGCUGUCUCCACCCGAGACUCAGUGAAAUUGAACUCGCUGUGAAGAUGCAGUGUACCCGCGGCAAGACGGAAAGACCCCGUGAACCUUUACUAUAGCUUGACACUGAACAUUGAGCCUUGAUGUGUAGGAUAGGUGGGAGGCUUUGAAGUGUGGACGCCAGUCUGCAUGGAGCCGACCUUGAAAUACCACCCUUUAAUGUUUGAUGUUCUAACGUGGACCCGUGAUCCGGGUUGCGGACAGUGUCUGGUGGGUAGUUUGACUGGGGCGGUCUCCUCCUAAAGAGUAACGGAGGAGCACGAAGGUUGGCUAAUCCUGGUCGGACAUCAGGAGGUUAGUGCAAUGGCAUAAGCCAGCUUGACUGCGAGCGUGACGGCGCGAGCAGGUGCGAAAGCAGGUCAUAGUGAUCCGGUGGUUCUGAAUGGAAGGGCCAUCGCUCAACGGAUAAAAGGUACUCCGGGGAUAACAGGCUGAUACCGCCCAAGAGUUCAUAUCGACGGCGGUGUUUGGCACCUCGAUGUCGGCUCAUCACAUCCUGGGGCUGAAGUAGGUCCCAAGGGUAUGGCUGUUCGCCAUUUAAAGUGGUACGCGAGCUGGGUUUAGAACGUCGUGAGACAGUUCGGUCCCUAUCUGCCGUGGGCGCUGGAGAACUGAGGGGGGCUGCUCCUAGUACGAGAGGACCGGAGUGGACGCAUCACUGGUGUUCGGGUUGUCAUGCCAAUGGCACUGCCCGGUAGCUAAAUGCGGAAGAGAUAAGUGCUGAAAGCAUCUAAGCACGAAACUUGCCCCGAGAUGAGUUCUCCCUGAGACUUAAAGUCUCCUGAAGGAACGUUGAAGACGACGACGUUGAUAGGCCGGGUGUGUAAGCGCAGCGAUGCGUUGAGCUAACCGGUACUAAUGAACCGUGAGGCUUAACCUUACAACGCCGAAG
This 2929-nucleotide ribosomal RNA is filed under the name Salmonella enterica subsp. enterica. Its description in RNAcentral is "23S ribosomal RNA". It matches the Rfam family "Bacterial large subunit ribosomal RNA". RNAcentral also lists the same sequence under 1 other name. The record is from RNAcentral. Lineage: Bacteria; Pseudomonadati; Pseudomonadota; Gammaproteobacteria; Enterobacterales; Enterobacteriaceae.